UUUGUACUUCCACCGUCCGAAAAAGCUUGUCCCAAGUUUGUCUCUCAAAUGGAUGUAUCUAGUACUAACUUGGUGCUAGAUACUUCCAUUUGAGGGACAACCUUUUUCGGACGGAGGGAGUAUUAU
Non-coding RNA from Triticum aestivum (bread wheat), 126 nucleotides. Lineage: Eukaryota; Viridiplantae; Streptophyta; Magnoliopsida; Poales; Poaceae. The record is from Rfam.